RNAcentral lists this ribosomal RNA (805 nucleotides) under uncultured bacterium. RNAcentral's name for it is "bacterial SSU rRNA". It matches the Rfam family "Bacterial small subunit ribosomal RNA", at positions 8 to 813 of the family's 1533-position model. The record is from RNAcentral.
AGAGUUUGAUCCUGGCUCAGGAUGAACGCUGGCGGCGUGCUUAACACAUGCAAGUCGAGCGAAGCAGUUAAGUUGAUUUCUUCGGAUUGAUUCUUAACUGACUGAGCGGCGGACGGGUGAGUAACGCGUGGGUGACCUGCCCCAUACCGGGGGAUAACAGCUGGAAACGGCUGCUAAUACCGCAUAAGCGCACAGAGCUGCAUGGCUCGGUGUGAAAAACUCCGGUGGUAUGGGAUGGGCCCGCGUCUGAUUAGGCAGUUGGCGGGGUAACGGCCCACCAAACCGACGAUCAGUAGCCGGCCUGAGAGGGCGACCGGCCACAUUGGGACUGAGACACGGCCCAAACUCCUACGGGAGGCAGCAGUGGGGAAUAUUGCACAAUGGGGGAAACCCUGAUGCAGCGACGCCGCGUGAGCGAAGAAGUAUUUCGGUAUGUAAAGCUCUAUCAGCAGGGAAGAUAAUGACGGUACCUGACUAAGAAGCCCCGGCUAACUACGUGCCAGCAGCCGCGGUAAUACGUAGGGGGCAAGCGUUAUCCGGAUUUACUGGGUGUAAAGGGAGCGUAGACGGCAAGGCAAGUCUGAUGUGAAAACCCAGGGCUUAACCCUGGGACUGCAUUGGAAACUGUCUGGCUCGAGUGCCGGAGAGGUAAGCGGAAUUCCUAGUGUAGCGGUGAAAUGCGUAGAUAUUAGGAAGAACACCAGUGGCGAAGGCGGCUUACUGGACGGUAACUGACGUUGAGGCUCGAAAGCGUGGGGAGCAAACAGGAUUAGAUACCCUGGUAGUCCACGCCGUAAACGAUGAA